RNAcentral lists this ribosomal RNA (1093 nucleotides) under Staphylococcus aureus W46839. RNAcentral describes it as "bacterial SSU rRNA". It matches the Rfam family "Bacterial small subunit ribosomal RNA", at positions 8 to 1080 of the family's 1533-position model. RNAcentral also lists the same sequence under 1 other name. Lineage: Bacteria; Bacillati; Bacillota; Bacilli; Caryophanales; Staphylococcaceae. The record is from RNAcentral.
AGAGUUUGAUCCUGGCUCAGGAUGAACGCUGGCGGCGUGCCUAAUACAUGCAAGUCGAGCGAACGGACGAGAAGCUUGCUUCUCUGAUGUUAGCGGCGGACGGGUGAGUAACACGUGGAUAACCUACCUAUAAGACUGGGAUAACUUCGGGAAACCGGAGCUAAUACCGGAUAAUAUUUUGAACCGCAUGGUUCAAAAGUGAAAGACGGUCUUGCUGUCACUUAUAGAUGGAUCCGCGCUGCAUUAGCUAGUUGGUAAGGUAACGGCUUACCAAGGCAACGAUGCAUAGCCGACCUGAGAGGGUGAUCGGCCACACUGGAACUGAGACACGGUCCAGACUCCUACGGGAGGCAGCAGUAGGGAAUCUUCCGCAAUGGGCGAAAGCCUGACGGAGCAACGCCGCGUGAGUGAUGAAGGUCUUCGGAUCGUAAAACUCUGUUAUUAGGGAAGAACAUAUGUGUAAGUAACUGUGCACAUCUUGACGGUACCUAAUCAGAAAGCCACGGCUAACUACGUGCCAGCAGCCGCGGUAAUACGUAGGUGGCAAGCGUUAUCCGGAAUUAUUGGGCGUAAAGCGCGCGUAGGCGGUUUUUUAAGUCUGAUGUGAAAGCCCACGGCUCAACCGUGGAGGGUCAUUGGAAACUGGAAAACUUGAGUGCAGAAGAGGAAAGUGGAAUUCCAUGUGUAGCGGUGAAAUGCGCAGAGAUAUGGAGGAACACCAGUGGCGAAGGCGACUUUCUGGUCUGUAACUGACGCUGAUGUGCGAAAGCGUGGGGAUCAAACAGGAUUAGAUACCCUGGUAGUCCACGCCGUAAACGAUGAGUGCUAAGUGUUAGGGGGUUUCCGCCCCUUAGUGCUGCAGCUAACGCAUUAAGCACUCCGCCUGGGGAGUACGACCGCAAGGUUGAAACUCAAAGGAAUUGACGGGGACCCGCACAAGCGGUGGAGCAUGUGGUUUAAUUCGAAGCAACGCGAAGAACCUUACCAAAUCUUGACAUCCUUUGACAACUCUAGAGAUAGAGCUUUCCCCUUCGGGGGACAAAGUGACAGGUGGUGCAUGGUUGUCGUCAGCUCGUGUCGUGAGAUGUUGGGU